CCCUGGACAAAGACCACUCCCCGGUCGAUGUAGAUCACAAUGCGGCCAAAGGUGUAGAGCUGCUUCCCUUCGUGUCGCUUCCCAAUGACGGGCAUGAAGACAAUGUUGUGCUCCUCAGCCUUGGUCUCAAUGAGGUCCUUAAAGUUCAUGGGCACAGAGCUAGCGGCCACGCCAAUGCCCCUCUGAGCCAUGUUCUCAGCCUCCCGCCUCUCCUGCAUGGCCUCGUACUGGAAGUCCUUCCUCCGCUCCGUGUGGGUGAGAUAGGCAAUGUUCUCCCGUGCUCCUGGCUGCAUGUAGGCACCAACGUUGGAGGACACCGCCCGGUUCAUGAUAUCAAGUGCCUCAUUAAAUUUGUCCUUGACAGAUGGAUGUGCCAGCACUUGGUCUGAGAACAUCGACUUCCAACCCAGGUACCACUUGGUGAUCUCCUCAUAAUUUGGGCUGUUACUGAGCCAAGAGCACAGCACCUGCCAAAAAGAAAAAUUACUUGCAUCCAUCGUGGCAACAAAUGAAGGCAAGAUUUCUGAAGUGGCCAUUUGUUUUGUUUUGAUCCUGGUCCUACAGGCUAGUGACACUACUUUACAGGGAUUUAUAGUAGCUAAACAGUCUAGCACUUAUGAAUAUGGAUUUUGGAGUCAGCCUGGUAGCUAAAGUGCCCUUGCAUGUAAACUCUCUGAGCCUCAGCUUCCAUGUCUACACAACAGGGAUACCAUAUCCCCUACCCCAUAGGGUUGCUGAGAGGAGCUGAGAUAAAGCAAAUAAAGUGCUUGGAACAGCUUCUGAUACAUGGCAAAUGUCCAAUAAAUGGUGCCCACUAUG
RNAcentral lists this long non-coding RNA (819 nucleotides) under Homo sapiens (human). Its description in RNAcentral is "HSALNT0276293". The record is from RNAcentral. Lineage: Eukaryota; Metazoa; Chordata; Mammalia; Primates; Hominidae.